UUUCCGUAGGUGAACCUGCGGAAGGAUCAUUAAAGAAUUUGCCCCGUCCUCUCGAGGAUGGGUCCUCUUCUAAACCGUGUAUACAUACCUUUGUUGCUUUGGCGGGCCGCCGUCUCGGCGUUGGCUUCGGCUGACUGUGCCCGCCAGAGAACCCCAACUCUUCUGUUUAGUAUUGUCUGAGUACUAUAUAAUAGUUAAAACUUUCAACAACGGAUCUCUUGGUUCUGGCAUCGAUGAAGAGCGCAGC
Molecule: unclassified non-coding RNA, 247 nt
Filed under: plant metagenome
Description: partial contains small subunit ribosomal RNA, internal transcribed spacer 1, and 5.8S ribosomal RNA
Rfam family: 5.8S ribosomal RNA (bases 199-247)
Source: RNAcentral